RNAcentral lists this ribosomal RNA (253 nucleotides) under uncultured bacterium. Its description in RNAcentral is "partial 16S ribosomal RNA". It matches the Rfam family "Bacterial small subunit ribosomal RNA", at positions 524 to 776 of the family's 1533-position model. The record is from RNAcentral.
GACGAACCGUGCAAACGUUGUUCGGAAUUACUGGGCGUAAAGCGCUCGUAGGCGGUUUGUUAAGUCAGCUGUGAAAGCCCCGGGCUCAACCUGGGAACUGCAGUUGAUACUGGCCGACUGGAGUGCGAGAGAGGGAGGUAGAAUUCCCUGUGUAGCGGUGAAAUGCGUAGAGAUGUGGAGGAACACCGAUGGCGAAGGCAGCUCGCUGGGACGGUACUGACGCUGAGGCGCGAAAGCGUGGGGAGCGAACAGG